RNAcentral lists this transfer RNA (75 nucleotides) under Oscillospiraceae bacterium. RNAcentral describes it as "tRNA-Arg". It matches the Rfam family "tRNA". From Rfam's summary of the family: Transfer RNA (tRNA) molecules are approximately 80 nucleotides in length. Their secondary structure includes four short double-helical elements and three loops (D, anti-codon, and T loops). Further hydrogen bonds mediate the characteristic L-shaped molecular structure. tRNAs have two regions of fundamental functional importance: the anti-codon, which is responsible for specific mRNA codon recognition, and the 3' end, to which the tRNAs corresponding amino acid is attached (by aminoacyl-tRNA synthetases). tRNAs cope with the degeneracy of the genetic code in two manners: having more than one tRNA (with a specific anti-codon) for a particular amino acid; and 'wobble' base-pairing, i.e. permitting non-standard base-pairing at the 3rd anti-codon position. The record is from RNAcentral. Lineage: Bacteria; Bacillati; Bacillota; Clostridia; Eubacteriales; Oscillospiraceae.
GCCCCCGUAGUUAAAUGGAUAUAACGGGGUCCUCCUAAGACUCAGUUACAGGUUCGAUUCCUGUCGGGGGUGCCA